This 497-nucleotide ribosomal RNA is filed under the name uncultured bacterium. RNAcentral's name for it is "partial 16S ribosomal RNA". It matches the Rfam family "Bacterial small subunit ribosomal RNA", at positions 28 to 507 of the family's 1533-position model. The record is from RNAcentral.
GAUGAACGCUGGCGGCGUGCCUAAUACAUGCAAGUCGAGCGAACAGAUGAGGAGCUUGCUCCUCUGACGUUAGCGGCGGACGGGUGAGUAACACGUGGAUAACCUACCUAUAAGACUGGGAUAACUUCGGGAAACCGGAGCUAAUACCGGAUAAUAUAUUGAACCGCAUGGUUCAAUAGUGAAAGACGGUUUUGCUGUCACUUAUAGAUGGAUCCGCGCCGCAUUAGCUAGUUGGUAAGGUAACGGCUUACCAAGGCAACGAUGCGUAGCCGACCUGAGAGGGUGAUCGGCCACACUGGAACUGAGACACGGUCCAGACUCCUACGGGAGGCAGCAGUAGGGAAUCUUCGGCAAUGGGCGAAAGCCUGACGGAGCAACGCCGAGUGAGUGAUGAAGGUCUUCGGAUCGUAAAACUCUGUUAUUAGGGAAGAACAAAUGUGUAAGUAACUAUGCACGUCUUGACGGUACCUAAUCAGAAAGCCACGGCUAACUACGUG